This 262-nucleotide long non-coding RNA is filed under the name Theobroma cacao (cacao). Its description in RNAcentral is "long non-coding RNA (TCAC_LNC004005)". The record is from RNAcentral. Lineage: Eukaryota; Viridiplantae; Streptophyta; Magnoliopsida; Malvales; Malvaceae.
CAAACCAAACAAACACUUAAUCUUUCAUGAUUUUGCCUACCAACUAUUUUCCUUAACGCCCUUGAUUGCCUUUUAAUUAAAAACACAAUUUCAUCUCCGUCCCGGUUUUUCUCGUUAAAAAAGGAAUCAUUCGUUGGCUACACAGAAAACCAAAAAGUUGCUUCACAAAUAGCCAACUACCUCGAUGAUGAACCACCCCUACACCCACUAUCCACCCAUAAACGAAUAAAGGCUUCAACCGAAGGUGGAAUUCAACUCAGAC